CAGAACGAACGCUGGCGGCGCGUCUUAAGCAUGCAAGUCGAACGGCAAGAGGUAGCAAUACCUCCUAGAGUGGCGGACUGGUGAGUAACACGUGGGUGACAUACCCUUCAGAUGGGGAUAGCUAUUAGAAAUAGUAGAUAAUACCGAAUACGAGCACAGGGGGUUAGAGAUCUGUGAGGGAAAGGAGCUAAGGCUCCGCUGAAGGAAUGGCCUGCGGCCCAUUAGCUAGUUGGUGAGGUAAGAGCCCACCAAGGCGAUGAUGGGUAUCCGGCCUUAGAGGGUGAACGGACACAUUGGGACUGAGAUACGGCCCAGACUCCUACGGGAGGCAGCAGCUAAGAAUAUUCCGCAAUGGACGAAAGUCUGACGGAGCGACGCCGCGUGGAUGAAGAAGGCCGGAAGGUUGUAAAAUCCUUUUGAAACUGAAGAAUAAGCGUUGUAGGGAAUGACAGCGUGGUGACAGUAGGUUUUGAAUAAGCAACGGCUAAUUACGUGCCAGCAGCAGC
Molecule: ribosomal RNA, 506 nt
Filed under: uncultured bacterium
Lineage: Bacteria
Description: bacterial SSU rRNA
Rfam family: Bacterial small subunit ribosomal RNA
Source: RNAcentral